CUUUUUCAUGUCAUCUAUCCCUCCGGGGUCCGUUAAUUUGUACCAAAGGAGUACAGUACAAAUUUAUGAACUCCGAAGGUGGGAGGACAUAGCCUGAUUA
This 100-nucleotide microRNA precursor is filed under the name Haemonchus contortus (barber pole worm). Its description in RNAcentral is "microRNA hco-mir-5893 precursor". The record is from miRBase by way of RNAcentral. Lineage: Eukaryota; Metazoa; Nematoda; Chromadorea; Rhabditida; Trichostrongylidae.